UCACGGUGGAGAAGUUGUUAUGUGUGCUUAAUUUUGAUGUUGUUAUAUGUGCUUUUCAAGUCAUCAAGCUUGAGUUGUUCAAAGGAAGCAUAACUUCCAAUACUGAUAUGUGUUUGAUGUUGUUAUGUGGGGUUUAUUAUGUGGGGUUUAUUAAAUGUUUGCUCAAAGGAAGAUUUUGAUGUUGUUUGAUGUUCAAAGGAAGCUUUUGAUGUUGUUAUGUGGGGUUUAUUAUGUGUUUGUUCAAAGGAAGCUUUUGAUGUUGUUAUGUGGGGUUUAUUAUGUGGGUUUUAUUAUGUGUUUGUUCAAAGAAAGCUUUUGAUGUUAUUUGAUGUUCAAAGGAAGUUUUUGAUGUUGUUAUGUGGGGUUUAUUAUGUGUUUGUUCGUGCUAUAUGUUUGAUGUUGCUAAGUCUGUUACAUGAGCCUUAUGUUUAUAUCAUUGUUUGCUU
Molecule: long non-coding RNA, 446 nt
Filed under: Ananas comosus (pineapple)
Lineage: Eukaryota; Viridiplantae; Streptophyta; Magnoliopsida; Poales; Bromeliaceae
Description: long non-coding RNA (ACOM_LNC028049)
Source: RNAcentral